UACAGAGGUGGCAAGCGUUGUUCGGAAUUAUUGGGCGUAAAGGGCGCGUAGGCGGCUUUGCAAGUGACGGGUGAAAUCCCUCGGCUUAACCGAGGAACUGCCUGUCAGACUGCAUGGCUUGAGACCAGGAGAGGUGAGUGGAAUUCCCAGUGUAGCGGUGAAAUGCGUAGAUAUUGGGAGGAACACCAAUGGCGAAGGCAGCUCGCUGGGACGUUACUGACGCUGAGACGCGAAAGCGUGGGGAGCAAACAGG
This 253-nucleotide ribosomal RNA is filed under the name uncultured bacterium. Its description in RNAcentral is "partial 16S ribosomal RNA". It matches the Rfam family "Bacterial small subunit ribosomal RNA", at positions 524 to 776 of the family's 1533-position model. The record is from RNAcentral.